UGGGGAAUAUUGCACAAUGGGCGCAAGCCUGAUGCAGCGACGCCGCGUGAGGGAUGACGGCCUUCGGGUUGUAAACCUCUUUCAGCAUCGAAGAAGCGAAAGUGACGGUAGGUGCAGAAGAAGCGCCGGCUAACUACGUGCCAGCAGCCGCGGUAAUACGUAGGGCGCAAGCGUUGUCCGGAAUUAUUGGGCGUAAAGAGCUCGUAGGCGGUUUGUCGCGUCUGCUGUGAAAGCCCGGGGCUUAACCCCGUGGUGUGCAGUGGGUACGGGCAGACUUGAGUGCAGUAGGGGAGACUGGAACUCCUGGUGUAGCGGUGAAAUGCGCAGAUAUCAGGAAGAACACCGAUGGCGAAGGCAGGUCUCUGGGCUGUUACUGACGCUGAGGAGCGAAAGCAUGGGG
This 400-nucleotide ribosomal RNA is filed under the name uncultured bacterium. RNAcentral describes it as "bacterial SSU rRNA". It matches the Rfam family "Bacterial small subunit ribosomal RNA", at positions 355 to 766 of the family's 1533-position model. The record is from RNAcentral.